RNAcentral lists this ribosomal RNA (403 nucleotides) under uncultured bacterium. RNAcentral describes it as "bacterial SSU rRNA". It matches the Rfam family "Bacterial small subunit ribosomal RNA", at positions 28 to 420 of the family's 1533-position model. The record is from RNAcentral.
GACGAACGCUGGCGGCGUGCCUAACACAUGCAAGUCGAACGAGUCCAGACUUCGGUCUGAGGCGAGUGGCGGACGGGUGAGUAACACGUGAGUAAUCUGUCCCGGUGCGGGGGAUAACCCAGGGAAACCCGGGCUAAUACCGCAUGGGCGGUUGGAAGGCUCUUCUAACCGGAAAAGGUGGCCUCUUUACAAUGCUACCGCGUCGGGAGGAACUCGCGGGCUAUCAGCUAGUUGGUAGGGUCACGGCCACCAAGGCGACGACGGCUACGGGGGUCUGAGAGGACGACCCCGCACAUUGGAACUGAGACACGGUCCAGACUCCUACGGGAGGCAGCAGUGGGGAAUUUUGGGCAAUGGCCGAAAGGCUGACCCAGCGACGCCGCGUGCGGGAGGACGCCUCGGU